CUUAAGGCGGUUCAGUUGCUUAGACAGCCAGGAUGUUUGCUUGGAAGCAGCAAUUCAUUUAAAGAGUGCGUAACAGCUCACUGGUCGAGCGACAGAGCAUCGAUAAUAAUCGGGCAUCAAGUGUAGUACCGAAGCUCAGGAUUUAGCAGUAAUGCUAAGUGGUAGGGGAGCAUUCUAACAGCGGAGAAGCAGUAUGGUAAUGUAUUGUGGAGCGGUUAGAAAAGCAAAUGUAGGCAUAAGUAACGAUAAGGCAGGCGAGAAACCUGCCCACCGAUAGACUAAGGGUUCCGCGGCAAUGUUAAUCAACCGCGGGUAAGUCGGGACCUAAGCGGUAGCCGAGAGGCGAACGUGAUGGCCAAUGGGUUAAUAUUCCCAUACUACCGUAUUGAGCGAUGAGGUGACGGAGGAGUGACAAUUCCGCGAACUGACGAAAUAGUUCGUUAAAGGGCGUAGGUAUAGGACUGGUAGGAAAAUCCGCCGGUUUUGCUGAAACCUGAUAGUAUCUGGAGGCUUCGGCCGAAGGAAUAGUGAAUGUAAGCAGACUUCCAAGAAAACCCUCUAAGCAUAUUGAUAUGGUACCCGUACCGGAAACCGACACAGGUAGUCAAGGAGAAUAUCCUGAGGUGCUCGAGUGAUCCAUGGCUAAGGAACUAGGCAAAUUAACCCUGUAACUUCGGGAAAAGGGGUGCCUCGCUGUAGCAAUACAGCAGGUCGCAGAGAAAUGGCCCAGGCGACUGUUUAACAAAAACACAUGGCUAUGCGAAAUCGAAAGAUUAUGUAUAUGGCCUGACACCUGCCCGGUGCUGGAAGGUUAAGGGGGGAUGUUAGCCGCAAGGCGACGCAUUGAACUGAAGCCCCAGUAAACGGCGGCCGUAACUAUAACGGUCCUAAGGUAGCGAAAUUCCUUGUCGGGUAAGUUCCGACCUGCACGAAUGGUGUAACGAUCUGGGCACUGUCUCAGCCAUGAGCUCGGUGAAAUUGUAGUCACGGUGAAGAUGCCGUGUACCCGUCACGGGACGGAAAGACCCCAUGCACCUUUACUAUAGCUUCGCAUUGACAUUGGGUAGAUGAUGUGUAGGAUAGGUGGGAGGCUUUGAUCCUGUGCCGCUAGGUAUAGGGGAGCCAACGGUGAAAUACCACCCUUUAUUUAUCUGAUGUCUAAUCCGCCAAAAGUGGAGACAGUGCGUGGUGGGUAGUUUGACUGGGGUGGUCGCCUCCGAAAGUGUAUCGGAGGCUUUCAAAGGUAUGUUCAGUACGCUUGGUAACCGUACGUGGAGUGCAAUAGCAUAAACAUGCUUGACUGUGAGAUCGACGGAUCGAGCAGGAUCGAA
This 1331-nucleotide ribosomal RNA is filed under the name metagenome. RNAcentral's name for it is "bacterial LSU rRNA". It matches the Rfam family "Bacterial large subunit ribosomal RNA", at positions 1066 to 2403 of the family's 2925-position model. The record is from RNAcentral.